This 45-nucleotide non-coding RNA is filed under the name Echinostoma caproni. Lineage: Eukaryota; Metazoa; Platyhelminthes; Trematoda; Plagiorchiida; Echinostomatidae. The record is from RNAcentral.
GCACUGCUGAUGAGUCCCAAACGGGACGAAACGGCUGUUCAGUGC